Molecule: long non-coding RNA, 1206 nt
Filed under: Arachis ipaensis
Lineage: Eukaryota; Viridiplantae; Streptophyta; Magnoliopsida; Fabales; Fabaceae
Description: long non-coding RNA (AIPA_LNC000435)
Source: RNAcentral
ACAAAAUUAUAACCUUCUAAUAAACAUUGCAUUUGUACUUAGAAUUAGAACAAAGCAUGUCUACGCUGUAUGUAGUAUAUAUAUAAUAUAAUAUUAUGGCCAAAAUCUCUAAUCUCUCACUUUGACAAAAAAAAAAAAAAAAAAAAAAAAUAGAUGGCCAUUUGUUUCUGCUUAUAAGCCAUGCCACCUGUUCAGGACUGCAUCAUGCAUAAUUAUGGGAUAAAACAACAACUUAUAAUAAAAUAACAGUAAUACUACUCAAAACUUAAAACUUACUCAAAGAAAAUGCCUUAGAAUUCAUUUCUUCCUUGAGUUGAGCAACAUUGUUUUGAGAUCAUCAUAUCAGCCACUCAGCCUAGCUUUCAACAUUACUUGCUCCAAAUUACCAAGUUUUUCCAUGCUAUCAGGGGGUAAAAAAAAGCAACAAUCUAAGAAUUUUGUGGAAAAUUGGAAAAAGACACAAGAAAAUUCAAUGGCUGUGCUUACUUAUUUGCUUAUCUCCCAUUAAAAUAGGUAACACCAUGCUCAUGUGAUGGUUGUACAUACUUGGAUGUAGCAGAAGUAAAAUCCUUAUUCACAACGAUUAUGAAAGGUGUAUGAGAAGGUAUAUUGUAUAAGAAAUGUUAUGAAAUAUAAGAGUAAUGCAGUGUAGGCUUAUACCUCCAAGAGUGGUCCAGGUUGAAGUUUCUGACUGUGACAAGAAAGUUCAACUUUAUGCUUAGCUCCUUGUCCAUGUACUCAUCCAGCAAAUAAUUACUACAUACAAGAAUUCCAUUAUAGAAAUGCAGUAAACAUGAGAAUUCCGAACUCUCGAAUGAAUUAGAAUCAAUUUUUUUAUUUGUUCCAAAAUAUGAAAAAGAAUUUCAUUAUUGUGAAUUCUAAUUCUUGUCAUUCCAAACACAUUCUUAAGAUCUUCUACACUAAGAAAUUGGAAACAAAUAACUCAAUUACUCUACAAGAUCUUUCUUUAAGCAUGCCCAAAGAGUAUAGAAUGAUAAGAGCAUUUUUAAUGUCAAACUUGUACUUCAAUGGCAAUUAAUUCUCCAGGAACCCUUUAAGUUUCAACAGGAAAAAGCAAAGUACAUGACAAAUUUAAACAUUAAAUUCAAAUAGAGAGUUUAGAGAAAUAGAAGCAUCCUUACAGGAUUGGAGGUGCAGCCCCCAAUGCAACAAAUUCACGAGUCCCAGUAGAAUCACUGGAUGUCC